CUACGGGAGGCUCCAGUGAGGAAUUUUGCGCAAUGGGGGAAACCCUGACGCAGCAACGCCGCGUGAGUGAAGAAGGCCUUCGGGUCGUAAAGCUCUGUCAAGUGGGAAAAAAUGCCUCCGGUGAAUAGCCGGAGGAGUUGAUGGUACCACUGGAGGAAGCACCGGCUAACUCCGUGCCAGCAGCCGCGGUAAUACGGAGGGUGCUAGCGUUGUUCGGAAUUACUGGGCGUAAAGAGGGUGCAGGCGGUUUGGAAAGUCAGAUGUGAAAGCCCGGGGCUUAACCCCGGAAGUGCAUUUGAAACUCCCAAACUGGAGUAUGGGAGAGGAGAGUGGAAUUCCCAGUGUAGAGGUGAAAUUCGUAGAUAUUGGGAGGAACACCCGUGGCGAAGGCGACUCUCUGGACCAAUACUGACGCUGAGACCCGAAAGCGUGGGGAGCAAACAGGAUUAGAUACCCUAGUAGUC
RNAcentral lists this ribosomal RNA (464 nucleotides) under uncultured bacterium. Its description in RNAcentral is "partial 16S ribosomal RNA". It matches the Rfam family "Bacterial small subunit ribosomal RNA", at positions 339 to 795 of the family's 1533-position model. The record is from RNAcentral.